GACAGAGGGUGCAAACGUUGUUCGGAAUUACUGGGCGUAAAGCGCGUGUAGGCGGCAGCGUGUGUCGGGCGUGAAAUCCCAUGGCUCAACCAUGGAAGUGCACCCGAAACUGCGCAGCUAGAGUCCUGGAGAGGAAGGCGGAAUACUUGGUGUAGAGGUGAAAUUCGUAGAUAUCAAGUGGAACACCGGUGGCGAAGGCGGCCUUCUGGACAGUGACUGACGCUGAGACGCGAAAGCGUGGGGAGCAAACAGG
This 253-nucleotide ribosomal RNA is filed under the name uncultured bacterium. RNAcentral describes it as "partial 16S ribosomal RNA". It matches the Rfam family "Bacterial small subunit ribosomal RNA", at positions 524 to 776 of the family's 1533-position model. The record is from RNAcentral.